CAGAACACACACCAUCAAUGCAGGCAACAGUGAGAAGUGGGUUACUUCCCCUUUCUGUGAAGAGUAGCCGGUGACCAUUUGCACAAAGGAGAUUAACCUGAAAUAAGAAGUGUGGACAGCCCCCCGCCCCAUCUCCACCCCAAACAAGAGGACAGAAUCCGCAGAGAGGAGUCGUCUGCUCAAGGCCAUGCGGAGGACUGAUGGCAGACCACGUGAGGCUGAUCCUAUUGGCAGAUCAUGCACCUUUUCCUCUGUGACUUCACACAUCGUCUCCCACCUGAGCUCCUGGCCACGUUACUGAGGCUGCUCUGACUGUCAGUGCGAAAGCCACUGUGACCUCCAGGCUGCAGAGACCAAGGCAGAAGCAGAGGCAGGAGGGAGUUGAGGCUGAAGAUUCCCAGACAGCAUAAUGACAUUGGAAGAGAAAAGAGCAGGAAUCAGAAUCGCUGUGUCACCCACCAGCGCUACAGUAGCAGCAAGUCAUUUGACCACCUGGUUAGCCAUCUAGUGAACCGGGCUCCUCCUGCCUCCCAGGACCUCUGAGGCAAACAUUGGGCAUUGUGAAGUGAAUGACAUCAUCUCCCUCUGCUGUGCCUCUGCUGCUCUCAAAGUUAAGAAUUUUUCUCGAGUCUCAAAAGUAUCUGGACUUCUAAAAGCUAUGAAACUUUUAGAGAUGGAACAAGAGGAGGUGAAAACAGGACUUUGAGGCAAGGGAUGGAAUGAAUGCUCUGAUGGCGUUGUGUGUUUGGAGGUCAAGCUGACAAGGCUGGGAUUGCGACCGUCAAUCUUCAUUGUCAAAAGUGAUGGGAUUUAGAAUCACCAUGGAAACCCCUCUGGGUGUGUCUAUUAGGGUGUUUCCAGGAAGCCUUAACUGAAGCAGGAAGAUCCACCGAAUGUGGGCAGCACUGUUCCACAGGCUGGGGUUCCAGACUGAAUAAAAAGGGUGAAGGGAGCUGAACUUUCCUCCCGCCCCUCCUCCCUGACUGCUCAGUGUGACCUGCUGCCAUGCCUUCUCCGCCAUGAUGGGGCAUACCCUCAAACCAUGAGACAAACCAGGCCUCCAUCCCCCUUCAGCUGUCUUGUCAGAACAGUGAGAAGAGUCACUGACAGAAGAGAAAGCACAUCAUACAAUUUGAUAUCCAUGUCUUCCUACAAAACUUGGCAAGCUAGAGGGGAAAAACCAGUUCCUUAAUCUUGUAAAGCAUAUCUAUCAAAAAAAAAUCAACUACAAAUAUCUAAGUGUUGAGGAAUUUAUAUUCACUUUGCCUUUCAUUUAGGAUCAAGACUGUGAUUGUGUCUUUACCAUGGUCUUUACCAAGUUUAUGUAGUGCAUUAACACAAGAAAAGGUCAAGAUAACAUGAAAGAAAACUACCAUUAUUUAUAGGAAAUAUUAUUACCAACACAAAAUGUAGAGGGAAUGUAUAUAAAUAUUAUGAACACUAAUGCAAAUAUUCUCCCUGGUUGCUAGAUAAAUAUGCAGACAAUAUUGCAUUCCAGUAUGCUUGCAAUAAUUAGAAUGAUAAUAAAGCAGCACCUGUGAGCUUCUUGGAAUAAAAUCCACAAGAAAGACAUAUAUUAGAUAUUUAGGAAAGAAAAAACUCAGAAUUUAUUAAAAAGCAUAAAAGGCAAAACUAAAUGAAGAAGUGAAAGAAGUUGAUGUAUUGACUUAGAUUCUUAUAAGUCCCAGCUCUUCUCAAAUGAAGCUCUGUGAUUUUUGUAGAAAGAGCAAGUGUAGGCUUAGCACAGGGCACCUCAGUACUUGAUAGGAAACCAUAGUUAUUAAGAGUUCAAAAGCGGGGCUGGAGAGAUGGCUCAGUGGUUAAGAGCACUGGCUGGUCUU
Non-coding RNA from Myodes glareolus (Bank vole), 1841 nucleotides. The record is from RefSeq and is a predicted model, not a curated record. Lineage: Eukaryota; Metazoa; Chordata; Mammalia; Rodentia; Cricetidae.